This 116-nucleotide ribosomal RNA is filed under the name Psychrobacillus glaciei. The record is from RNAcentral. Lineage: Bacteria; Bacillati; Bacillota; Bacilli; Caryophanales; Bacillaceae. RNAcentral also lists the same sequence under 4 other names.
UCUAGUGAUGAUGGAGAAGAGGUCACACCCGUUCCCAUACCGAACACGGAAGUUAAGCUCUUCAUCGCCGAUGGUAGUUGGGGGUUUCCCCCUGUGAGAGUAGGACGUCGCUAGGC